Zea mays is the source of this 1985-nucleotide long non-coding RNA. RefSeq lists it as uncharacterized. NCBI's taxonomy places the organism in Eukaryota, Viridiplantae, Streptophyta, Magnoliopsida, Poales, Poaceae. The transcript is spliced from 5 exons. The record is from RefSeq and is a predicted model, not a curated record.
UAGCGUCACCCCCGGCGGCCGGCGCACGGCCUCACCACCCCUCGCCUAACUUUCCUAGUGUCACCCCCGGCGCCCAGAGAUCGAAGCUUCGAGCAGGAAACGCCCCCGCCCUCCAUCUCCCCCGCGUCCAUGGCCAGGAGCACCGUCCCCCUCACCACCCCGACGCCUGGAGAUCCAUCCUCAAACACCGCUGCUGGGGCGCCGUCCCACGCUAGGACCCCCGCGCCUCGCAAUCAAAGUCACUGGCAACUCUGACGACCUAGGGCUCACAGGCAAGCAUCGUGUCUCAUGUCCGCCUUCUGCUUCCCCUCGCGCUCGCCACCGGCAUUCAUCCCUGCUUUGGGCCUUCCAGAGGCUAGCGCCGCGAUGGCCGACCCGGGCGCCUCCGUCAACAUCGCUGCGCGCCACCACCUCACGCCGCAGCUCGCGGGGCAGCCACCGGUGACACAUGCGGGCUGGUGGGGAGGGGCGCGUCCGUACCGCCAUGGGAGGGGGCAUGGCAUCAAGGGUGAGGGAGGGGCGUCGAGGAGGCGGACGCCAACAAGCCCACACAUCCAACACCCUACCAGGUCUUUGAUGCUGCUGCUUCACCAAACAAUGAAAUGCUCUUGAUGCAUGAUUCAGGAGCUAGGAGGAUAUCUAUUGUCGUCGAGUUACAUGAAGUUGACUUUCCUCUGCUGCUGCUGCUGUGCUCAGUGUGGAUGACAUUGUGUUGCCUCAGGUGACCAUCCUUGGACUCAUGUCUAUGACCGUGUUCCUCAAAAUAAAGAUGUCACAUGGGCAGAUUGAAGGUGACACCAAAUUCUUUGGGGCUCUGGCUUUUGUAAUUUUCUCAGGAAAGUUGGAUUUGUGCUCAGUAGGGAGGCCAUUUAGUUAUGCAAAUUACAUACGGUUAAUUGUUAAUGAUUUGAAGAAUGACCUACAAGAUCUCUUUACUUUGGACCUCUUCAAUUACACUUUUUGAAAAUAUGUGUACUUGCUGUUCAAAUGUUAUUAAUAGACUCAGAACUUGACCAAAACGUAUGGGUACUCAUUCAUUUAUUAUUCCUUUUUACAUCCAUCAUUUCCAUGGAGUUGUACUUCCAAAUUUCAUAAUCGUUGGCAUGAUUGUUCUGCUCAUCUCUAAGUUGUCAAAUCUUUGGCAUUUCCAGAUGAAGGCAAUGUUAGGUAAAUAUAUUUAUCUUACCAUUCUUUUCAUCUCACUAUUAUCUUUGUCGACAAACAAUUCCGAUUUACUAGCACGCGAUUUUUCUUACAAAACCAUUUAAUACAAUUCAAUAAUAGAAAGAACUCAAAAAAGGAUAUUGAAACUUCACAUGAAGUAUGCUUUACUGCCUUAAAAUAACUAUAUUCAACGAAACUUAACUAUUAAACCAAAUGUCAUCGUAGGGUCCAGACGAUUUAACAUUUAAUAAUCUUGAAAUUAUGUCCAGUACAUUAGAAUUACCCACAAAAAAAGUUCUUUCAUCUUUGUUUUUUUGGAAUGCUAAAACAUUUGUGUUAUUAUGGUAAAUAUUGUUGCUUAGCACAUUUCUCAUCAAAGAAAUUCUACAACACAGGCCCAAACAAAUUUUUGAAGCAGUCCAUAACCUUAGUUCUGUAACACUUGCUUGAAACAUGAAUAAUGUACUUCCUCCUAAUUUUCCUAACGUUUGUUUUUUCUAAUUCCAUAAAAAACGAAAGCUUACAAAAAUCAUUAUUGUGUUAUAUUUUCCACUAACUUUUACAAAAACAUUUGUCUAUCCAGGAACAGAAGGAUUAGUGCAUGUCGUUGCAUAUGGCUCUUUUACAGAAACUUUUAUAGCUAAUUUAUUUUGUAUGACGUCAUGUAUGCCCCUAGGACAUACGUGGCUCUUUUUGCAGGUAUAUACAUGUCAAUAUCUUGGACUACUAAAAUAAACAGAAUUGCUAAAGACAAUGAUGUUGAUAAACACAACACUACUAUACGUUACGUAUAGAAUUAAUAUUCUUUAUCAUAUUAUUUU